GGAUCGGGAGGCUGCCAUUCGGGACGGUGGCCACGAAUUGAUCCGGACGUGUCGUCUCUAAUGUGCAAGGCACCGGGGCCCGACGGUGUCUUUG
Ruegeria atlantica is the source of this 94-nucleotide non-coding RNA. NCBI's taxonomy places the organism in Bacteria, Pseudomonadati, Pseudomonadota, Alphaproteobacteria, Rhodobacterales, Roseobacteraceae. The record is from Rfam.